Molecule: ribosomal RNA, 305 nt
Filed under: uncultured bacterium
Lineage: Bacteria
Description: bacterial SSU rRNA
Rfam family: Bacterial small subunit ribosomal RNA
Source: RNAcentral
GGCCUACGGGGGGCAGCAGUAGGGAAUAUUGCGCAAUGGAGGAAACUCUGACGCAGUGACGCCGCGUAUAGGAAGAAGGUCUUCGGAUUGUAAACUAUUGUCGUUAGGGAAGAGAAAGGACAGUACCUAAGGAGGAAGCUCCGGCUAACUACGUGCCAGCAGCCGCGGUAAUACGUAGGGAGCGAGCGUUAUCCGGAUUUAUUGGGUGUAAAGGGUGCGUAGACGGGAUAACAAGUUGGUUGUGAAACCCCUCGGCUCAACUGAGGAACUGCAACCAAAACUAUUAUUCUUGAGUGCAGGAGAGG